GGAGAGAUGGCCGAGUGGUCGAAGGCGCACGCCUGGAAAGUGUGUAUACGGCAACGUAUCGAGGGUUCGAACCCCUCUCUCUCCACCA
Molecule: transfer RNA, 88 nt
Filed under: Methylobacter sp. S3L5C
Lineage: Bacteria; Pseudomonadati; Pseudomonadota; Gammaproteobacteria; Methylococcales; Methylococcaceae
Description: tRNA-Ser
Rfam family: tRNA
About the family: Transfer RNA (tRNA) molecules are approximately 80 nucleotides in length. Their secondary structure includes four short double-helical elements and three loops (D, anti-codon, and T loops).
Source: RNAcentral